RNAcentral lists this unclassified non-coding RNA (241 nucleotides) under Veratrum album subsp. album. RNAcentral's name for it is "partial trnH-psbA intergenic spacer". The record is from RNAcentral. Lineage: Eukaryota; Viridiplantae; Streptophyta; Magnoliopsida; Liliales; Melanthiaceae.
ACUGCCUUGAUCCACUUGGCUACAUCCGCCCCUUAUCUAGCUAAAGCAUUUUCUCCUUUUUAUUUUUCCAUUCAUCAUUAUUGUAUUUAUUCUUACCUUCAUACUUAAAUCUAGAUAUUGGACAUAGAAUAUAGAAUGCCAAUUUUAAAAAUGUAAAAAAGGGAGCAAUCCAAAAUAUCUUGUUCUAGCAAGAGGUUUUGGAUUGCUCCUUCAACAAUUCAUAUACACUAAGACCUAAGUC